RNAcentral lists this long non-coding RNA (1156 nucleotides) under Ictidomys tridecemlineatus (thirteen-lined ground squirrel). RNAcentral's name for it is "lncRNA (ENSSTOG00000034883.1)". The record is from RNAcentral. Lineage: Eukaryota; Metazoa; Chordata; Mammalia; Rodentia; Sciuridae.
AUGGAGCUCCGGCCACAGGAGAACAUGCUGGUGGAUGUGUCCUUCUCACUCUCCCUGGAGCUGCUCUCCUACCAGAAGCUCCCGACCGACCAGAUGCUACCUGGAGUGGAUAUCCAGCAGAGCACAAGUGGAGAGAAAGAGAUGGUGUUUACUCAGGAUCUGCUCCUGGAGUUCACCAAUCAGACCACACAGGUUGUGCCCCUGCGGGCCAUUGUGACUGUGCCUGAGCUGCAGCUGUCCAGCAGCUGGGUGGACUUUGGAACCUGCUUUGUGAACCAGCAGACAUCCCGGGAGAUCUACCUGAUGAACCUCAGCAGCUGCCGGAGCUACUGGGCUGUGCUGAUGGGUCAUCAGAGUGCCACCAAGGAGGCUAAAGACUUUGUUGUCUCCCCAAGCAGUGGGUUGCUGGAGGCACGACCCACCAAUGCGCCCCCAACCUCCAUCACACUUGAGGUGUUCUUCACUCCCAGGUACAGCUCCUCCCCACCUUCUGGCACUAUCCACAGGGCUGGGAGGCCCUGCAUAUCUCAGCCCCUCCUCUUCCACAGGAGCAAUGAGCUGUAUGAAUCCACGAUGGUGGUCGAAGGCAUGCUGGGAGAGAAGUCCUGUGCCCUGCGGCUCCGGGGCCAAGGCUCUUACGAUGAGACAUUCAUGGAAACUCACCAGCUCUGAGGCUCACCCCACCCCUUAGCCCCAGACUUAGCUUAAGGAACGAGAUGGCACAGGUUGAUGAACAGGUUUGUGGGGCAGGGACAUGGACUGAGGAUUUCUAAACAGCUCUUGGGAUGGAGGAGCCCCGCCCACUCUGAGGCAAAGGUCUUGCCUUAGCUUUGGGGACUUACAAUGUAGUGCCUGACACAAAAGAGGUCACACCAAUGUGGAGAUCAUAGCAGUUCAGACUCAGAUGGAGAGCACAGAAGUCCCCCAGGGAAAACACAACCCACCAAGAUAAGAUAACACACGAUUGAUUAUACCAUUGUCCCCUCCUCAUUCAUGAGGCCACAGUUUCCUAGGAUUUACAUGGAGGCCUUGUGGUAAGGCCCAACACCCUGCCCCCUCCUGUACUGUGUCAUCCAUGUUCACAGUUUCCAAAUUAUUUAAAGUGCCUUCACCAGUGGCUGAAUGUCCCACGUGGAUUCGCUUCCCAAGAGCCACU